UGAAACCGGAUGCUGAGUACCCUGAAUGGC
RNAcentral lists this non-coding RNA (30 nucleotides) under Macaca fascicularis (crab-eating macaque). RNAcentral also lists the same sequence under 1 other name. Lineage: Eukaryota; Metazoa; Chordata; Mammalia; Primates; Cercopithecidae. The record is from RNAcentral.